CUGUGCCGCUUCUCCCUGUGAUGUGAGAGGGUCUGGAAGGCCCUGCAAGAAGUCUGGUCCUAACCAGGGAAGCGUAGAAGCAUUACCCAGACAGACUGAGCAUUUGUCACCUGGGCUUUCUACAGAUGACAUAGGCAGUGGAAGUCAGCAUCGCAAGCAUCCGUGAGAGCCCUGCAAAAGACUGUUUGCUGUCGAGCAGAUUGAGGUGGAAGUCAAAGACUCAAA
Molecule: long non-coding RNA, 225 nt
Organism: Gallus gallus (chicken)
Lineage: Eukaryota; Metazoa; Chordata; Aves; Galliformes; Phasianidae
Exons: 3
Source: RefSeq, a predicted model, not a curated record